RNA transcript from Wyeomyia smithii (pitcher-plant mosquito), 3666 nucleotides. RefSeq lists it as uncharacterized. Lineage: Eukaryota; Metazoa; Arthropoda; Insecta; Diptera; Culicidae. The record is from RefSeq and is a predicted model, not a curated record. The transcript is spliced from 5 exons.
AGUUGCAGACAUUUUUCAAAAAUAUCUGGCAUCACUGUUUCUAGUACAUUUUUCUUUUCGUUCCAUGUCCUCACGCCGUUAAAUUUUUAAACCAAAAACCAUUUGGUGUUCAAAAAAAAGGUCUUGUUUUUAUCGGAAAGUGCCGUCGGGAAAUGGAAAUUGAAGUUGUGACGCUUAAACCAUGGAUGUGCAGAAUUUGCUUGGAAAAGGGUAAUUACAAUAUCUUCAAAGAUUGGCUAGGAGGACGAAUUCCAUUGGCAAUCACAGGACAACUUUGCCACCAGGGAUCUAGUAAAAGUGCUGUCUCAAUUGUCGAUGCACUCAAUUGCUUCAGUCAGUUUAAGGUUUCUCAAUCAGAAAUAAAUAUUGAACCAAUGAUGUUGUGUGAAAAUUGCCACAGACAGCUAGUGCAAUGCUAUCUUUUUCGUAAAAAAGUACAGGAUGCCGAAAUUUUGCUGCACAGGGACCUAACAACCAGCAAACAUAGUCAAAAUAUAGACUAUCUGCAGCAGGAUAAAAGUAAAUCGGACAUCACACAACAGUUUGCAGAUUUCAACUCACGUUUGAGCCACAAUGGAAAUUUGAAACAGAUUCCGGCAAACAAACUGAUACAGAAAAAUGAUGGUAUGAAUACGAAACAAAUGAAUAAUAAGGUUUAUCAUGCCAAACCUCGCUUUAAAUUAACGAACCAAGUGAGUAACAUUUUACGCCAUGUGACAGUCAGCAAUAGUCGUUUAAGUUCUGUUAAAGAGAAGCGUACAGAUUCUACAACGAUGACUUGUUCUACACCAAAAAGGAUAAAGCAAGAACAUAACUCUGUUAGCAAUCGUUUGGAAAAAACUUUGAUUAUUCCAAGUUAUGUUUUUGAAAAAGAGGAAAACCGGGAGAAACAUGUACUUCAUGUAAAAGGCGCUACAAUUUCUACAUCUUGUCCAAUUCGCAGUGAAGAAGACGUCGAUCGAAAUGAUUCCAAAAAUAUAUUCUACUGCACCCAUUGUCCUAAAGCGUUUUCUGCGCCAUAUCACCUACUAGUUCACACCAGAAGCAGUCACCUGUGUCAACAUUGUUUGAAACUUUUCCAUAAUGUAUCAACAAGAAAUAAGCACAUUCGAGAUGAACAUAAACUGUUUCGCUGUUCACUCUGCAACUUUCAGUCGCAGUACGUUACCAAUUUGAGAUCACAUUUGAAAAAAUCACACUCCGUAACAUUACCAGCGCAUGUCUCUAUACUACAAAAAACUUGUAAAGAUACAUCUGAUUAAAUAUUGAAAUAGAUCCCGCCAGCUGAAAAAUCAAUAAAUUAUAAUCAUUGAUCCAACAUAUUUUGCGAUAAGGAAAGCAGGGGCAGACGAAACCUUGUCAUUAUCUGCCGUUGAGGAAUUCUAAUAUGCAUGCAUGAUAUGUAUGUAUGUUAAAGGUUUAAUGACACAAUAAACAAGAAAAUAGUAUAAAAAGGCCAGUAGAACCCAAUUGAACAGUUGCAUUGAACGAAGUCUAAAGGAAUCUGACUUGAAUGAAGUCGUACCUACUUGCAUAAAGUUGAAUGUGUCCAACUGCUUGAAUGACACGCGAAAGUUCCUAAAACCAUACUUCUCAAUGACUGCUUUCAACGUAGUGAUGUUCCAAAUGGCGUGCCCGCUUAUUAUAAUACAUAUACAUUAGACGUUCAAAAUGAGCAUAUUUUUUCAAUACCAUUAAACACAAAAUAUUAAAGUCAUGAAGGUAAUCAUCUCACCAUAUGUCAACCGUGAGAUGUCUAUUAUAGAAAGGGUGGGUUGUCUAGCUGGUCGCCGUAAGCGAAUUACUUCUGCACUAGGCCCAGGUUAUAAUGUCAAAACCUCCAGGAGCAAUUCAUGACGCAACAGUCGCUGGCGACCAAUCGGGCACAUGUGAGCGAAUUUACUCUGGACUGAAGGUUUCAACGGCAGUUAUGUGUUGUAAAUGGGGAACGUACCUGUUGUUACCGGUUCGUAUCACCUUACUCACCACAGAGUUGACUAUACCUUUGUUGUUCCAAGGCCUCAUUGCAUCGAUAUCAAUGCCGGCUGUCUUACUUGUGGUCGUUGCGUCUGUUGCUCUCAUUUAUGCCGUGUUCUCAUCCUCGGUCGCACCUUUCGACAUAUCCCAUGCAAGUCCGUCCGCGUUACUGCUAUGCUUGCCAUGGUUCUUUCGGUUGUUCUGGUGAUCUAUUAAGCAUUUUGUCUCGCAACCGCAAAAAAAAGAGAAAAAAAAAAGAAUGGGAAUGGUUAAUGGCAAAGCCGAAAAGUACUGUCACAUACAUCCACAUUCAGACCGUCAACAUAUACCACCACCUAAUGAAAUUCAUUCUACCAAAAACGUAUAACUGAUAGCGAAUUUAUCCACUCCACUGGGUCAGUGCCAACACCUGGAAUAAUGAAACGAUACGAUACGACUCACGACGUAAUCUAAAGAGAUGCUAGGCAGUUGUCUACAUUCAGAACUCAUGUAUUGGUGCGCCAAAACUGGCUCAACAUUCGCUGCGCAACUAUCCAUUUCAGGGUGCCAACUGCAUAAUAAUAGGGUCAGUGCAAGUCUACCCAAGAAUAAAGAAAUGGCAUCACGAUUUAGAACGCAAGUAAGAAAGAGAUGCCAGAUAAUUGUUUAUGAACUAAGCACGUGCGACGGUGGAUUGAAACUGACAAAUUUACGGUGCGCUUUGGGCAACACGCCGGGUCGAUACUGCGUCAAAAUCAAGCGAAAGUGGGUGAGCUGGGUGGAAUAAAGAAAUUGCCAUUAGAUCGCAACUGGGAUUGACACUGGGAACAAAUAAAUUCGCGAAAUAAUAAUUAUAAUAAAACAUAUGCAUACACACAUGUAUAUAUAGAAAAAUAAUAAUAAUGAGAGUAAUAGUAGUAGUAGUUGUCAGAGAAGUGAGAAGGGUUAGUAAUGCUACAUUAUAUGAGUGCAAUGGGUGAUCGUUAGUCACGAGGUUUUGUUAGUGGUUUUAGGGUUAGUAUAAACCUCGAUUAAGCCCUACAGACCCCGCCAGUAUUUAGUUUUGUUAGGUCAUGCGAAACUAUAACCGGCGGUGUGAUAAAUCAAGCGUAAUCAAAAAAAAAAAAAAGCGAAUUGCAAUUAUUGUGUUGAUCUCAAUAAAUUGUUAAAUUGUUACUAUCAUGUUAUUAUUAUAAUGUUAUUUAUAUUGUAAUUUUUAAUUAAGCUUUGUGUUUGGAAAUCGGCUUGACGAAUCACCGUCAAGUCCUCCACCCAUGUGUAGGGAAUUGCUGGCUCUAUGCUUAAAACAUUAUGCAACAAAAUUGUUAUAAAAACAGUACUGCGGUUUGUUUGAAUAUUUCUUUAGGUUGAUAACACUCGAGCAGGGAAUAUAGAUACACAUAUGUUAAUGAACAUAAUCACCUUACCCUUUUAACGUCUUAUUAUAGGGUAUAAUGAGGUAAUAUAAUUACUUCGUAAGGUAUACUAAUUUGGUUUAUUUUUUUACCUUUAUCUUCAUUAAGAUACUAAAAUAUCACUAUUUUUUAAAGUAUUAUCCAACUGUAUCUGAAACUAAAAUUUUCCUCGAAAAUUGUUCCAGUAUAAAGAUAUAGGCAAUAAGGUAUCGCUUCGAUGCAAGCUUGUAUCAGCAAGAUGAAAGUUAACUUGUCUUAAACGUUCUAAAAAACGUCCAAUUACCACACCGGGUAG